This 253-nucleotide ribosomal RNA is filed under the name uncultured bacterium. RNAcentral's name for it is "partial 16S ribosomal RNA". It matches the Rfam family "Bacterial small subunit ribosomal RNA", at positions 524 to 776 of the family's 1533-position model. The record is from RNAcentral.
UACGAAGGGGGCAAGCGUUGUUCGGAGUUACUGGGCGUAAAGGGUGUGUAGGCGGUUGGAUAAGUGUGGUGUGAAAUCUCCCGGCUCAACUGGGAGGGUGCGCUACAAACUGUCUGACUAGAGUGUGGGAUGGGUAAGUGGAAUUCCUGGUGUAGCGGUGAAAUGCGUAGAUAUCAGGAGGAACACCGGUGGCGAAGGCGGUUCUCUGGGCAUUACCUGACGCUGAGGAGCGAAAGUGUGGGGAGCGAACAGG